Molecule: ribosomal RNA, 473 nt
Filed under: uncultured bacterium
Lineage: Bacteria
Description: bacterial SSU rRNA
Rfam family: Bacterial small subunit ribosomal RNA
Source: RNAcentral
ACUCCUACGGGAGGCAGCAGUGGGGAAUAUUGCACAAUGGGGGAAACCCUGAUGCAGCCAUGCCGCGUGUGUGAAGAAGGCCUUCGGGUUGUAAAGCACUUUCAGCGAGGAGGAAAAGGGGUGUAAGUUAAUACCUUACAUCNGUGACGUUACUCGCAGAAGAAGCACCGGCUAACUCCGUGCCAGCAGCCGCGGUAAUACGGAGGGUGCGAGCGUUAAUCGGAAUUACUGGGCGUAAAGCGUGCGCAGGCGGUUUGUUAAGCGAGAUGUGAAAGCCCCGGGCUCAACCUGGGAACCGCAUUUCGAACUGGCAAACUAGAGUCUUGUAGAGGGGGGUAGAAUUCCAGGUGUAGCGGUGAAAUGCGUAGAGAUCUGGAGGAAUACCGGUGGCGAAGGCGGCCCCCUGGCACAAAGACUGACGCUCAGGCACGAAAGCGUGGGGAGCAAACAGGAUUAGAUACCCUGGUAGACAU